This 65-nucleotide transfer RNA is filed under the name Agenioideus sp. SJW-2017. RNAcentral describes it as "tRNA-Asp". Lineage: Eukaryota; Metazoa; Arthropoda; Insecta; Hymenoptera; Pompilidae. The record is from RNAcentral.
GAAAAUUUAGUUAAUUUAUAAUAUUAAACUGUCAGUUUAAAGUAAUUUAUAAUAAAUAAUUUUCU